AUUGAACGCUGGCGGAAUGCUUUACACAUGCAAGUCGAACGGCAGCACGGACUUCGGUCUGGUGGCGAGUGGCGAACGGGUGAGUAAUGUAUCGGAACGUGCCCAGUCGUGGGGGAUAACGUAGUGAAAAUUACGCUAAUACCGCAUACGAUCUAUGGAUGAAAGCGGGGGAUCGCAAGACCUCGCGCGAUUGGAGCGGCCGAUAUCAGAUUAGGUAGUUGGUGGGGUAAAGGCCCACCAAGCCAACGAUCUGUAGUUGGUCUGAGAGGACGACCAGCCACACUGGAACUGAGACACGGUCAAGACUCCUACGGGAGGCAGCAGUGGGGAAUUUUGGACAAUGGGCGAAAGCCUGAUCCAGCCAUUCCGCGUGCAGGAUGAAGGCCCUCGGGUUGUAAACUGCUUUUGUACAGAACGAAAAGGUUUCUACUAAUACUAGGAGCUCAUGACGGUACUGUAAGAAUAAGCACCGGCUAACUACGUGCCAGCAGCCGCGGUAA
This 500-nucleotide ribosomal RNA is filed under the name uncultured bacterium. Its description in RNAcentral is "partial 16S ribosomal RNA". It matches the Rfam family "Bacterial small subunit ribosomal RNA", at positions 30 to 523 of the family's 1533-position model. The record is from RNAcentral.